UAUGCAAAGAGAAUAUGAAGAUUGUUAUGGUGUUAUGAGAUGAAAUGGUUGAGUAUAGAAAGUUGUGUUUUAUGAUGAUGGAAAGAUGGAAGAGUGAAGUUGAGACGGUUGGAGGUGACAUUGAAGUGAAGGAGAAGACUCAGUUGAUGUGGUGUGGUGUAGUGAAUCAAGAAAGCAUAAAUAAUAAUGAGAGAGAGGGCAAAGUGGUAUUGGAAGAGUUUUUUUUUUCUUUUUUUUUUAACAAAGAAUGGGGUGAGAAGAAAUAUAUGGGAAAUAAAAUAAAUAUGCAGUAUUGAGAGAGAGAGAGAUUGAAAUUUAACACAAACAAAUAUAAAUGCAUUUAACGACCCAAAAAUAAAUAAAUUCAAUUAAUUAAUAAAUUCUAAAAAUAUUUUUAUGAUUAAUU
Molecule: long non-coding RNA, 406 nt
Filed under: Lathyrus oleraceus (garden pea)
Lineage: Eukaryota; Viridiplantae; Streptophyta; Magnoliopsida; Fabales; Fabaceae
Description: Pisum sativum (pea) long non-coding RNA (PSAT_LNC015683)
Source: RNAcentral